CCUCAGAUCAGACGAGACUACCCGCUGAAUUUAAGCAUAUCAGUAAGCGGAGGAAAAGAAACUAACAAGGAUUCCCUCAGUAACGGCGAGUGAAGCGGGAAGAGCCCAGCACCGAAUCCCCUGGUUCUGCGCUAGCGGGAAUUGUGGUGUUUGGGACGCCUAUCGGCGCUGUGUCCCUGUGCCCAAGUCCUUCUGAUCGGGGCCUUUCCCAUAGUGGGUGUCAGGCCUUUAGCGGCACGGGACUAGGCGUCCUUGAGCGUCCUUGGAGUCGGGUUGUUUGGGAAUGCAGCCCUAAGCGGGGGGU
Molecule: ribosomal RNA, 304 nt
Filed under: Oxystele sinensis (rosy-base top shell)
Lineage: Eukaryota; Metazoa; Mollusca; Gastropoda; Trochida; Trochidae
Description: eukaryotic LSU rRNA
Rfam family: Eukaryotic large subunit ribosomal RNA
Source: RNAcentral